This 91-nucleotide non-coding RNA is filed under the name bovine gut metagenome. RNAcentral describes it as "Glycine riboswitch". It matches the Rfam family "Glycine riboswitch aptamer", at positions 7 to 88 of the family's 94-position model. Rfam says of the family: This family represents the bacterial glycine riboswitch. Glycine riboswitches usually consist of two metabolite-binding aptamers domains with similar structures in tandem. The record is from RNAcentral.
AGGGCUCGGGAGAGACCUGCGGCCGGCAGGUGCGCAGGAACCGAAGGGGCAACGGAAAAAACGAUAAACUCUCAGGUAAAAGUACCGUGCC